RNAcentral lists this transfer RNA (74 nucleotides) under Pneumocystis canis. RNAcentral describes it as "tRNA-Ala". It matches the Rfam family "tRNA". Rfam says of the family: Transfer RNA (tRNA) molecules are approximately 80 nucleotides in length. Their secondary structure includes four short double-helical elements and three loops (D, anti-codon, and T loops). Lineage: Eukaryota; Fungi; Ascomycota; Pneumocystomycetes; Pneumocystales; Pneumocystaceae. The record is from RNAcentral.
GGGGAUAUAGUUUAAUAAGGUUAAAACUUAGACUUUGCAUGUCUAAUAUAUGGAUUCAAGUUCCAUUUUCUCCA